This 461-nucleotide small RNA is filed under the name Pongo abelii (Sumatran orangutan). Its description in RNAcentral is "processed transcript". Lineage: Eukaryota; Metazoa; Chordata; Mammalia; Primates; Hominidae. The record is from RNAcentral.
AGACCACAAGGUCGGGAGCACCUGCGGAGGCUUCUGAACUGGGAGGAGUUUGACGAACAGAGAGACUCCCGGAGGAGCAUCCUGCUGGACACCCUCUACGAGAGCAUCAUCUUUGCAGUGGGCAAAGGCUUCCCAUGGGUGGAGGUGGCCCAGGUGGUCAAGUUCACGGAAGAGCUGCUAAGGGAAACCAAAGUGACAAAGAGAAAGGAAUACUCUUACAGAGAAGAAGCUGACAGCUGCCUCCUUAGUCAAAUGAUCCAAGUUGACAUUGUCAGUGAGAGGCCGCACACAGAAUCCCGUGUGCCUGGUCGGAUGCAGCGAGAAGCCAGCAUUCUCCUGUGAUGGUUCCAGCAAAGACUCAUGGCCUGAAUCUAAUCGAGAGAAAACAGCAAAUUAGGAGUAGGGCUCAAAGUAGCCCUCCUGCCAGCUCCAAACACUCAAAGGCCAUAAGAGCCCAGGAA